AACUCAGUCAGUGGAUUGUUCGAACAGUUUGGGGAUUUAUCGUCAGUGUUUCAGCUCUGUGCAGCUUCAGCACUUCUUUAUAUUCAGAGUUUAUAUUUGGAAUAUGUUGAAGGACUUUUAAUGGUUGAAGGUACGGGUGAAACAGCUCCACUCUAAAGACGACGGAGGGAGAUUAAAGAGCAGAAAAACAUCAGAGCUGAGUCUGGACAGGACGUCACUCUGACAUGUCGAGCUCCAAACAACAACAUCUUAGUCACAGAGUGGAGCAGAGCUGAUCUGGAGCCAGAUUAUGUCCUUUUGUACUGGGAUGAGCGAUCUCUUCCAGACAACCAGCAUCCAUCCUUUAAGAACCGGGUGGAUCUGCAGGACAGACAGAUGAAGGAUGGAGACGUGUCUGUGAUUCUGAAGAAUGUGACGAUUAAUGACACUGGAACAUACGAGUGUCGCAUCCAGACAAGAAGAAACCGCUUGAAGAGAGCUCUUCUGAAGACUGACCCCAUCAGCAUCAUCAACCUGACUGUUGCUCCUCCUCCAGGUCCAGGAGGAGGAGACACAGAGGAUGGAGGGAAGGAGGUUGGAGUCAGUAGAGAACAUUAUGGUCUGGCAGCUGGUCUGUCAGUUUUUGGUGUGAUUUGUGUUGUGAUGUCUGUUUUUGUCGUCUGUAUAAACUGAAAGAUGAACUCUCCAUCUUCCUCCUACUGAACAACAGCUGGUCUGAAACUGUUCACUUUAAUUUACCUCAUAUUUUAUACAUUAUUUAACUGUUUAAUGAAUUCUCAUCAUUUUGUGAUCUAUCAGGAGUUGAUGAACCAAUGAAAUGGAACUUGAAAUUUGAAGCUUGAAAUGUU
Archocentrus centrarchus (flier cichlid) is the source of this 848-nucleotide long non-coding RNA. RefSeq lists it as uncharacterized. The record is from RefSeq and is a predicted model, not a curated record. The transcript has 3 exons. NCBI's taxonomy places the organism in Eukaryota, Metazoa, Chordata, Actinopteri, Cichliformes, Cichlidae.